AUUUUGGACAAUGGGGGAAACCCUGAUCCAGCCAUCCCGCGUGUAUGAUGAAGGCCCUCGGGUUGUAAAGUACUUUUGGCAGAGAAGAAAAGGUACCUCCUAAUACGAGGUACUGCUUACGGUAUCCGCCGAAUAACCACCGGCUAACUACGUGCCAGCAGCCGCGGUAAUACGUAGGGUGCAAGCGUUACUCGGAAUUACUGGGCGUAAAGCGUGUGUAGGCGGUUCGGAAAGGAAGAUGAGAAAUCCCAGGGCUCAACCUUGGAACUGCAUUUUUAACUGCCGAGCUAGAGUAUGACAGAGGGGGGUAGAAUUCCACGUGUAGCAGUGGAAUGCGUAGAUAUGUGGAGGAAUACCGAUGGCGAAGGCAGCCCCCUGGGAUAAUACUGACGCUCAGACACGAAAGCGUGGGGAGCAAACA
Molecule: ribosomal RNA, 421 nt
Filed under: uncultured bacterium
Lineage: Bacteria
Description: partial 16S ribosomal RNA
Rfam family: Bacterial small subunit ribosomal RNA
Source: RNAcentral